AUACGUAGGUGGCAAGCGUUAUCCGGAAUUAUUGGGCGUAAAGCGCGCGCAGGUGGUUUCUUAAGUCUGAUGUGAAAGCCCACGGCUCAACCAUGGAGGGUCAUUGGAAACUGGGAGACUUGAGUGCAGAAGAGGAAAGUGGAAUUCCAUGUGUAGCGGUGAAAUGCGUAGAGAUAUGGAGGAACACCAGUGGCGAAGGCGACUUUCUGGUCUGUAACUGACACUGAGGCGCGAAAGCGUGGGGAGCAAACAGGAUUAGAUACCCUGGUAGUCCACGCCGUAAACGAUGAGUGCUAAGUGUUAGAGGGUUUCCGCCCUUUAGUGCUGAAGUUAACGCAUUAAGCACUCCGCCUGGGGAGUACGGCCGCAAGGCUGAA
Molecule: ribosomal RNA, 377 nt
Filed under: uncultured bacterium
Lineage: Bacteria
Description: bacterial SSU rRNA
Rfam family: Bacterial small subunit ribosomal RNA
Source: RNAcentral